CAGAGUAGGAACAGCGCGUAAAGUGUUACAGGAUGGGAAGUUGCCUGUAAACGAAAGAUACCGGCCUAGGCCCAGGGUCUGCGGUGCUGUAUCCGCAUCCGCUGC
Molecule: non-coding RNA, 105 nt
Filed under: bovine gut metagenome
Description: THF riboswitch
Rfam family: THF (Tetrahydrofolate) riboswitch aptamer
About the family: THF riboswitch presents a pseudoknot that joins P1-P2 and the loop of P3 and two THF binding.
Source: RNAcentral